Molecule: ribosomal RNA, 397 nt
Filed under: uncultured bacterium
Lineage: Bacteria
Description: partial 16S ribosomal RNA
Rfam family: Bacterial small subunit ribosomal RNA
Source: RNAcentral
AUACGUAGGGGGCGAGCGUUGUCCGGAAUGAUUGGGCGUAAAGGGCGCGUAGGCGGCCCGGUAAGUCUGGAGUGAAAGUCCUGUUUUUAAGAUGGGAAUUGCUUUGGAUACUGUCGGGCUUGAGUGCAGGAGAGGUAAGUGGAAUUCCCAGUGUAGCGGUGAAAUGCGUAGAGAUUGGGAGGAACACCAGUGGCGAAGGCGACUUACUGGACUGUAACUGACGCUGAGGCGCGAAAGUGUGGGGAGCAAACAGGAUGAGAUACCCUGGUAGUCCACACUGUAAACGAUGAAUGCUAGGUGUAGGGGGUAUCGACCCCUUCCGUGCCGCAGGUAACACAAUAAGUAUUCCCCCUGGGGAGUACGAUCUCAAGAUUGAAACUCAAAGGAAUUGACGGGG